Molecule: ribosomal RNA, 477 nt
Filed under: uncultured Arcobacter sp.
Lineage: Bacteria; Pseudomonadati; Campylobacterota; Epsilonproteobacteria; Campylobacterales; Arcobacteraceae
Description: bacterial SSU rRNA
Rfam family: Bacterial small subunit ribosomal RNA
Source: RNAcentral
GAAUGACGGGGACCCGCACAAGCGGUGGAGCAUGUGGUUUAAUUCGACGAUACGCGAAGAACCUUACCUGGCCUUGACAUACUAAAAAGCUUUAAGAGAUUAGAGUGUGCUAGCUUGCUAGAAUUUAGAUACAGGUGCUGCACGGCUGUCGUCAGCUCGUGUCGUGAGAUGUUGGGUUAAGUCCCGCAACGAGCGCAACCCUCGUGUUUAGUUGCUAACAGUUCGGCUGAGAACUCUAAACAGACUGCCUACGCAAGUAGGAGGAAGGUGAGGACGACGUCAAGUCAUCAUGGCCCUUACGGCCAGGGCUACACACGUGCUACAAUGGGGUAUACAAAGAGCAGCGAUACGGUGACGUGGAGCAAAUCUAGAAAAUGCCUCUCAGUUCGGAUUGUAGUCUGCAACUCGACUACAUGAAGUUGGAAUCGCUAGUAAUCGUAGAUCAGCAAUGCUACGGUGAAUACGUUCCCGGGCCUU